Sycon ciliatum is the source of this 2499-nucleotide long non-coding RNA. RefSeq lists it as uncharacterized. The transcript has 3 exons. Lineage: Eukaryota; Metazoa; Porifera; Calcarea; Leucosolenida; Sycettidae. The record is from RefSeq and is a predicted model, not a curated record.
GUACUACGUAUACAGAUGUGUGUAUCUCCGGUUGAUGUCGGAAGGCCUCGCUCGACGUAACGCUCGUAGUCGUAUCAUUGACAUGACAUGUUGUGCAAGCAAGGUGCCACAAAGCAACGUCAACAGAACCCUCCACUCAGGACGUUCCAGUAGCUGUCGACCAUUCGUACCCAACGGCGGCAGCAGCAGUUGGAAAGAAGAAGAAGAGGAUAAAACUACCAGGUGCUCUAAAGUUUGGUUGACAGGCACCGUGCACAGUACGUUGCAUACAGAGGUUACUCGGAAGUUCUCAGUUGGUGUAACUGGUCUGUUGCUCUGAUGAUCUCUUCAAGGGCAAAAGCUGAGCCAAGCUGAGACACGGGAAAUCAAUCUUGAUCUCUUUUGAAGCAGGGAGCCUGUCUAAAAGCUCAGUCUGUGUGAACGGUAGGUUUAUUAUCCAAAUAAAAGCUCUGCCGACCCUUCAAAUACCAGUAACCACUGGUGUUAUCUACAAAGAUCAGCAUUUCAAAGAAUAAUAAUGAUAACAUGUUCGAGGCAAGAUAUUGUGUUCAAGUGGUUGCAGAGGGCCAGAUACAUCACCACUGUCCAGCUAACUGUGUACAUUGCUCAUGUACAUACUACUAUCCGCAAUGGUGUCUACUGGAUUGCUUUCUGCUCUCUUCCGACUGGCUCAUGAUUGCCUACUGGCAGGACUGUUACAGCCAAUCAGCCGGACCGGGAAGUUACCGGUAUUAGAAAUGUUUCAAAUAUUUUUCAGGAGCCUCCAUGCCUCAAGAUGAAAAGGUUUCGACCAUGAUCUGCCCUCGUCCAAUGCCACUUACACACAUGUUUGCCACAUCGAACAGGCUCACCAUGCUGUGCAUGCAUGCAACGAGCCUGACGAUUACAUUGCCCGGUUACUACUGUGGUCUUCUGAAUGAGUGUUAUGUGACGUGACUUGAGAAAGUAGCAAGUACAGUGAGAUGAGUUUAGGUCUGCGGCCCGCCACUGCACUGGGUGAUUGAUGUACGAGCCGUCCGGUAUUAGAUUUACUCGUGUAGACCCGCUAGUAUCACGCGCGAUUCGGGGGGCUUGGAAAUCUCUAUGGUAGCAGAGUCCGCGGAGGCAGAGCAUCAGGUAUCACUUGCUAUCACGGCGCCAAUAGUGAACUUGAUCGACGCCCACCCAAACGAAAGCGAGCGAGACACCCCAGCCAUCAGCCCGGACCCAAACUCGCAAAGCGUCUUGAGUAUCGUGGAGGGCAUGGUCAAUCCUGUUCUCGGAACGUUGGCGAGGCACGAGGCAUCGCCCGACAAAAGCACCAGGAAAAGUCGGUGGGUGGCGGCAGCAGCAGACAGAGCUUGCCGCAGAGCGUUCAUCAGUUCAGCGACGCGACAGCUGCUCGCAGUAGCAGACGAAAAGGGCGUGUCAACGUGGUUAACAGCACAACCGUCCUGGAAAAACAGCACCUUGCUGAAGAAGUCGGAUUUCAGAGACGCGCUAUGCAUGCACUAUGGGCUGCCACUGUAACGUGUAUGUGAUGAUUGUGUCUGUGGGAAGUCUAUGAUACCCACCAUGCCCUCACGUGCCCGACCGGUGGUUAUCCGUCGGCUCGCCAUAACGAGCUUCGGGACCUUCUAGCCUGUGUACUGCAGGAGGUACUGGCCGAUGUCGAGAUUGAGCCACGUUUGCUCCCACUACAAGGUGGGGACAUCUCUGCCGCUUCGGCUAAUCGUCAGCCAGAGGCACGCCUGGACAUACGGGCCAAUGGUGUCUGGUCUCGGCUGCAGGACGCCUUUUUUGAUGUAAGGGUCACUGACCUUGGGUCGUCCUUGCUGUCUCGUCCGGAAAUCCUUACUUAGCCACAUGAGAGAAGAAGAAGGCGUAUGGUGCCAGAGUCAACCAAGUGGAGAGAGCAUCAUUCGCCCCACUGGUGUUUCGACCUCGGGUGUGGCGGGCAAGGAAACCACCAUAAUAUUCCUCAAGUCACUAGCUGCUUUGGUUGCAGACAAGAACAAAGACUUGGUGUAUUCGGCCGUGAUGGGUGAGUUACACAGCCGGGUUUCGUUUUUGCCUGCUGCGAUGGGCAGUCAAGUGCUUUAGGGGCUGCAGGCCCAGUGCAGGGCCUCUUACAUUCGCCAGAACUUGGCGCAAGGUCGGGAGCCCAUUUGCAGCAUUGCCGCCGGCUGUGCGGACACGGGCAGAGGCGUGACUUGACUUCGCCUUUGCAUGCUGGUAGGCCAUUUAGAUAACGGUUUCUUGUCAAGCUUUUGUGUUCAAUCUUACAUUUCGAUUAUUUGAGUGUUCUAUUUAUUUCGAAUUUGGGUUGUCUUUUUGCUUUGCUUCUUACUUCAUGGUUUCACGCGAUUGGUGUUGUGAAUAUACCCGUUUUCAAGUACCGGUAUGUCUGUGACCUAGCAUACCGGCCAUCACACCUACCCUGGCCCUGAGAUCUACCGCGGAGGCGCGCGGGAAACACCUCUGAGCGUAGACUACUACCGGUACUUCAGUAGUAGGUCU